CAGAGUUAGCUUUCAUUGUCACCUGAUUUAACAUUAUUUCUGGAUAACCCAGAUUUGUUACAACACAACCAUCACAGAAAAUUGUGGUCUACCAUAUGUAAGAAAUUACCAAGACAACGCUAUAAAAUGUGCACCCUUAUUACACAAAAAUUGUGCCACUUGUCAGAAGGAAAUUAUGGAGAUGAAAAUAUGUGAACUGAAUUUAACCCUCAUGGGACUUGAACUCACGUGGGAACUUUCCAGCUAUCAAAACCCAAAUCUAGCAAGGCAAAACUGAUUAUAUUUGAAACCAGUAGACUAUAUAAUGAUCACACUUCUCUACUAACAUAUAUAACACCAAGAAAAUACAGUAUAUAGCGAAAUUGAAUCAUAAUGAAGUAUUACGUACAAAACGACAGAUCAACUAAUAGGCAAUAUAACAUUACUUCAUUGAAACUAUAAGACUACAUCACCCUUAUUACUCCAAUACUGAGAAAAAACAUUUGGAUGCAUAUGGAUGCCCCUUCCAUAAAUUGAUAAGUAAUGUGAGAUUUCCUCACCUUCAGAUGUGCGAAUUGCUUUCUCACCUUAUGUCUUCUGGCCAUUGCACUAAAGUUGCAUGGCUCAGAUUUGAGAGUUUCGUCAAAUAUCACAUUUGUAUGGUCCUCUAGUACAGUAGCUUCCCUUUUUUUGUCCCUAGCUUCCUUGCCCCCAGCAUAGAGUUCAGUGUAUCAUCAGAAAAUUCAGCUACAACAGUAUAGAACAUACAUGUGUAUAAGGCAUCAUACAGAUUGUGACUAAAAGAUUCAGAUUGUAUACCUAUAAUUGGCUAAGGAGCAUUUACCUACAGGAGAAAAUAAAGUAAUAUAAGAAGCGCAUUUUCUUUACUAAUUUGCAAAUUUUCAUAAAAGAAAGAGAAAAGGAUUAAUAAAAAAAUAGUGCAAAUCGGAAGCAUACCCAUGGUGAAAUGGUUGUUCAAUCCAACAACUAUCACAAAUGAUAGUUUUUUUCUCCCACUCACCUCUCACAUUCUUGACAGUUUCAAAUAAGAUCAUAUUACUAUAUUAUGAUAGCAGUAUGAGGAAACUGAAAUACAAGAAAGGUCCAUUGCUGAAAUGCUGUCACAGCCGAUCUAGGCAAAGAUUCCGAACAUGGUAUUUUUAUGAACUUCUAAUUUUCAAAACACGUAGAAACACUGGAUUAUAAGCUUAAAGAUUUAUAUUCCACGCAUAAAAGCUCUGGAUUCAUGACACUAUUUGCGUUUACCACUCGGGCAUAUAUUAGUUUACCAAUUUGCGAGAGAAACAAUGCGACCUUUUCAACUCACUACAAGCUGAGAUCAUAUUUGAUAGACGUAUAUACUCCUACAUGAGUAUAACAACCAGGUCCAGUACAUGACCCAUUAUUCCCACACAAAAACUAUUGAGUAUAGAAUUAGGCCUAUCGACUAUUUUGGAACUACACGAGGGAUGCUGCUGAGUUUUCAAUAUGACGAAUUAUGACAGAUCCGAAUCAACUGUAUCGACGCUAUUUCAAUACGACCCAACACAAGUUACACAACUGUGCAAUCACACUGCCAUGUCAAGAAAUAUAUAAGGCACAUGCAUGUACUAACUUUAUAAUACUGUGACGGCAAUGUAAUUAAGGAUUUAUAGAUAUAAAACAAAAAAGAAACACCCACAAAUCAUGUCAAGAUGGAAGGAAACAGUCACACUUGCUUUCCAGAUACAGCAGAUACCAAAAUACGACCAUAAUAUUGUUUGGCUAAGAACUAAUCUGAAUUCACAUAUGGUUUCUAUCCAUGUCCAACCCUCAGCUAAUAAAUCAUAUGCAUUGUCUUCUCAAGUGAAAGCAUGUCAUUAAGGGAAAUCAAUUGCGCAGUAGAAAGAUGUUCCUUUCUAUUCUUCCUCUGCUAUCUAACCCAGUAUCAAGCAAGUAAGUAUUUGACAUAUCCAGGCCACUCAAAUCAAGCAGCCUCCCAAUUUCUUGGUCAUGUAUUCCAAUCACUCCUCCUUAGAUACACAUCUGCUAUCAACACGAGGAUCCAUCCUCUUGUUCUCUACAACCAUCGCCAGCUGGUUUGCCUUCCUAGCUUCGUUUUGGUACACGCAUCACGUCAAACAGCAAGGAAAUAAUAAAUAUCCUAAACUGACCAACACCAGAUGAAUUAGUUUAACGCUCCUAACAGGAAGUCAACCAAACAGAUGAUUAGGACGCAGACAUCCCCUAUUGUUUUCAAAAUUAGAUAUGAAGAGGCAAGAUGAUACCUGAUUUGGUGUUGGAAAUCUUCUUAACCCAGUAUUCAGAGCAGUCAUGAUAGGUUCAUGGUGCCGUCCUUCGUCUGCUUCCACGAGUGGGGAAUUUCGGCGAGCACCCAACACACAC
Molecule: long non-coding RNA, 2364 nt
Filed under: Triticum aestivum (bread wheat)
Lineage: Eukaryota; Viridiplantae; Streptophyta; Magnoliopsida; Poales; Poaceae
Description: long non-coding RNA (TAES_LNC012958)
Source: RNAcentral